AACACCCGGUAACAUUCCGAACCCGGAAGUUAAGCCCUUCAGCGCCGAUGGUACUGCACGGGAGACUGUGUGGGAGAGUAGGACGCCGCCGGAC
This 94-nucleotide ribosomal RNA is filed under the name Mumia flava. Lineage: Bacteria; Bacillati; Actinomycetota; Actinomycetes; Propionibacteriales; Nocardioidaceae. The record is from RNAcentral.